Molecule: ribosomal RNA, 1360 nt
Filed under: human gut metagenome
Description: bacterial SSU rRNA
Rfam family: Bacterial small subunit ribosomal RNA
Source: RNAcentral
AGAGUUUGAUCCUGGCUCAGGAUGAACGCUGGCGGCGUGCCUAACACAUGCAAGUCGAGCGAUUCUCUUCGGAGAAGAGCGGCGGACGGGUGAGUAACGCGUGGGUAACCUGGCCUGUACACACGGAUAACAUACCGAAAGGUAUGCUAAUACGGGAUAAUAUAUAAGAGUCGCAUGACUUUUAUAUCAAAGAUUUUUCGGUACAGGAUGGACCCGCGUCUGAUUAGCUUGUUGGCGGGGUAACGGCCCACCAAGGCGACGAUCAGUAGCCGACCUGAGAGGGUGAUCGGCCACAUUGGAACUGAGACACGGUCCAAACUCCUACGGGAGGCAGCAGUGGGGAAUAUUGCACAAUGGGCGCAAGCCUGAUGCAGCGACGCCGCGUGAGGGAUGGAGGCCUUCGGGUUGUAAAGCUCUGUCUUCAGGGACGAUAAUGACGGUACCUUUCGAAUAAGCACCGGCUAACUACGUGCCAGCAGCCGCGGUAAUACGUAGGUGGCGAGCGUUGUCCGGAUUUACUGGGCGUAAAGGGAGCGUAGGCGGAUGAUUAAGUGGGAUGUGAAAUACCCGGGCUCAACUUGGGUGCUGCAUUCCAAACUGGUUAUCUAGAGUGCAGGAGAGGAAAGUGGAAUUCCUAGUGUAGCGGUGAAAUGCGUAGAUAUUAGGAAGAACACCAGUGGCGAAGGCGACUUUCUGGACGAAAACUGACGCUGAGGCGCGAAAGCCAGGGGAGCGAACAGGAUUAGAUACCCUGGUAGUCCACGCCGUAAACGAUGAAUACUAAGUAUUGGGGUUGUCAAAUUUCAGUGCUGCAGUUAACGCAGUAAGUACUCCGCCUGAGUAGUACGUUCGCAAGAAUGAAACUCAAAGGAAUUGACGGGGACCCGCACAAGUAGCGGAGCAUGUGGUUUAAUUCGAAGCAACGCGAAGAACCUUACCUACACUUGACAUCCCUUGCAUUACUCUUAAUCGAGGAAAUCCCUUCGGGGACAAGGUGACAGGUGGUGCAUGGUUGUCGUCAGCUCGUGUUGUGAGAUGUUGGGUUAAGUCCCGCAACGAGCGCAACCCUUGUCGUUAGUUACUACCAUUAAGUUGAGGACUCUAGCGAGACUGCCUGGGUUAACCAGGAGGAAGGUGGGGAUGACGUCAAAUCAUCAUGCCCCUUAUGUGUAGGGCUACACACGUGCUACAAUGGCUGGUACAGAGAGAUGCAAUACCGCGAGGUGGAGCCAAACUUAAAAACCAGUCUCAGUUCGGAUUGUAGGCUGAAACUCGCCUACAUGAAGCUGGAGUUACUAGUAAUCGCGAAUCAGAAUGUCGCGGUGAAUACGUUCCCGGGUCUUGCACACACCGCCCGUCA